CCGACUGGCAUCAGCGGUGGCUCUGGGAAGAGCCGCAGCCAAAUCCAGGAAAGGGGCCCAGGACGAACUCCAGCUGGAGGCUCACAGCCUUACUCAUCCUGGGGUCACGGCCGGGUCAAAGAAAUGCCCGUGUGGGAAGGAGAAAAGCAGACACCUGUAGACAUUUGCGCCCUCCUGUGUCCUGUAGCCUGUUUGACCUGGUAUGGGAAAACUCCCAGAGCCAAAGAAGUUUCCAGAAGUCACGAAGUUCCCUCAUGGUAGAUGUUUCUUACGUCUUUUUGUUUGUUUGUUUGGUUUUGAACUGUUGCUUUUGCGACUGGAGAACAAAGCCAGACGUUGUAGCCUUACAAAGCGUGCCAGAGAGGUGUUCUACCAUUAACAACAUCUUCAAUCAGAGUUCAGACUUUGCUCUCCUUGGGUCUCCUGGAAACAGAGCCGCCUCUCGGACUGGUUACUGGGCAGACUCCGAGGCAGUUUUCCAAAGCACCCAGAUGCCUGGCCUUGCUUCACAGAGGAAUAUUCUACAAUAUGUGGGGCUUGGUAAGAGAUUCAAUCCCCCCACCCCACCCCCAACACACACACCUAAGAACUAGAACUUCUGGAAACCUGCUUCGGGAAGAAGAAUUACGUCCUCCAGUGAUACGGAACUACGCUGCGGCUCUGGACGCCACUGGCUGGACCGAAGCUUGGCUCCAGAUCUUUCCUGUCACUGAAGGCUGACCGCAAGGCCCCCGCGGCACUCAGGAAAUGCAGCCAGGGGUCAGAGAAUUCUCAGAAAGGGGUGUGGAUCCGGAGGAGUUGUCUGGGUGGUGUCCUCCCUGUCCUAAACAGGGACAAAUUCUCUAACGUUAAAGAUAUGUUGAGGCCCCUCCGUGCUAGGCUUUCUGCCCCAGGUAGGACAAUACUGCGAGAUCUGAUGAGGCCUCGCGGGCGCGCGGUUACAGUCUAACGUGCACCGCAGACAGUCCCGGGAAGGGGCAGGGUGGGUAUGGAAAACAGUCGCAGUAACCCCAGUGGCCUGGCAUUAGGGUGGGGACAUUGGCAGGAAGGGCUUGGACAGAUGGGAAAGAGUAUUCCAAACAGCUCCAGGGCAGCCCUAGAGGCCCCGGGCACCGUAGGGUUAAGUUCUAUAAACAGUGAUCGGUCCCACAUGCUUGGGAAGAUUUCCCAGUGCAGGGUUGUGGCGCUCAGAAGCAGGCCCAGUGGCCCAGUGGGCCCUGGAGGAGUCUGUGGUGCCCACUGUUCCCGGCAUGCAGACACGUCCAUGCCCAGACACAGGGCCUUCCAAGAGUCCCACAGUCCCGCUCGGCCGCAGCUGCAGGAAGCAGCCUCGACCUUGGAUGCCUUUUUAUGAUUUUGGUGCCUAGUGCAGAACCUUUGUAGUCCAGAUUUCCAGUUCUUUUCCUAGUCUGUCCCUCGGUCACCGUACUGGCCUACACCAGCUCUUCUUACCCCGCUAGCACUGUGGGAAUUCCUGGGGGCGCUUUUGAAAACGACGGAAGGCGUUUAUGAGAGUCCCCCUCCUGGAAAUGCGGUUCAGCAGAACCAGACUUGAGAGGGUCACCAGCCAGGCUGUCUGGAGGAGCCCCAGACUCAGAGCAGGGCCCUCAGAGUCCUCGUCUCUGAUAGGCUGGGAAGGGUGCUGGCGAGCCAAUAGGAGGGAGCCGUUGUCUUGGGCUCUGUCUUCCAGGCAUCCACCAGACAGCAGAGGUCAAAGGUUCCAACCGGAAGCAGGGCAAGAACCAGAUGACUUUUCUAGCCGGUGAUAACAACCAUGAGCCUCCUUAGCGGGGUGGUUAAUCCCCCAAGGCAAUGGCAGCCUUGUCACAACACCCCCAGGCAUACCUGGCAAGGCGCCAAAGGCGUAGUUAAGGACAGGGGGCGGGGGGGGCGUUUAAGAAAGACCCUGAAGUCACAUCUAAGGCCUUCUAGUUAGGCUGCUGCAAGGGAGAUGACACCAGUUACCAAGUGGGUGACCAGAUGUUCUCUCCAAGCAGCCUAAGGAGCACUGUAGGACUCGCGGGGUGGGGGGUGAGGAGGGGUCUACAGAAGGAGGGGGUUUUCUCACGAGCCCCAGAUCUGGUCACUGUCAAGCAGUGUAGUUUCCAUUUGUCAUCGGAGGAGACCGGCUUUGUUUCCUCCUGGAGCAGCGAGUGGUUCUGGAAUCUGAAGGGCCAGCAUUAAGAGAAACCGGACAACUUCUGUGUGACCUUUGGCUGCAAGGUUUUGGAACUUUCUGUUUUUGCUGUGCACGCCUGGGACUGCAGGUCUCUAAUCCUAGGGGUUUGGGUGUUAAACGCUAGAAAGUCUGGUUGAAAAGCAGCCAACUCACAGCAGACUGUUUCCUGAGGGCGGGGGUAGGGCAAAUGUCAAGGUCCUGGGGGGGGGGGCGCAGAAGUGGCACCGCUUGCGUAAUCAGCCUGGAACUGACUUCCUCGGAAACUCACUGGGAUUGCCUCCAGGACCCUUUCCAUGAAGCGCCAACGGCUCUGUGGACGGAUUUGCAGGUCGGGGUGGGAGCUCGGGCAGGGUGCUCCACGUUCUCAUCUUGUGGAUGAGGAAAUUGAGGAGGGGGAGAGCCUCCCCGCCCCCGCCCCGUGGCUAACUUGUGAUCCUACUGCAAUGCAUGGAGUCUAUCCACUCCAACGCAA
Mesocricetus auratus (golden hamster) is the source of this 2651-nucleotide long non-coding RNA. RefSeq lists it as uncharacterized. The transcript is spliced from 2 exons. Lineage: Eukaryota; Metazoa; Chordata; Mammalia; Rodentia; Cricetidae. The record is from RefSeq and is a predicted model, not a curated record.